AGCCAUCUGGGCACAGCCACGACUGUGGCUCUGGUCCUGCCAGGGUGUAGCCUUUGAAGAUGCUUCAAUGAAUUUCUAUUUUACUCCCCCUUAACUCCAUCUAGCUUCUGCUGCAGCUCCUUAAGGCAUCAAGGGAACAGACUGGAACCUGUCUGUGUGUCCUGCAGUAGGAGCCUGUGCCUGUGUCCCAGCAGUGUGUGGGCAGGGGUACAGUUUUCAGACAGUCACUGCCUGGGUGAGUGGAGAAAAUGCUGAAGCACUGAGAGAAAACCACUCCUGAAGAGCAGCAGAACUUGCCCAGAAGGAUGUUUCAUAGUGCAGCAAUUAACUGAUACACCAGGCUAUCAGGUGCCAAGGGGCUCUUUCCAUGGAAGAGGACAUCUGAAUCCAAGACAUUUAUUUUGCAUCUGAGGAGGUGCAGUGAGAGCCAGAGGGAGCAGCAUCCCCUGAGCAGGAGCAUGAGCUGGUACCACACUCUGAUCUCAUGUCUGUAGCCCCAAGCUCCUCCAAGGAUGCUCCUAAGUGGGGCUGGACUGAAAAAUCCCCAGUGCUUGGACCAGCUCAGGACAGAGCAGCCCCACCUGAGCCCAUAAAGUAGAUUUGGGACUGCCCUGAGCAGCUGCUGCUGCUGAAUGCCUGCUGGGGAGCACGGAGAAGCAACAGAGGGUGAGAGCUGCUGGUGCUCAGAAGGCACAGAUUCCAUCUUAUCUGGUCACUCUUCUCCUGGCCAGUAAAUCUGUGAGAAAGUGGCAAUGAAAUGUUAAUUACCUCCAAAAUUAUCUGCCUCCAGUUAUUGCUAGAAAUGGCAUUGAAAACAACAAAAUGUUGAACCUCAUGCAGCCACUUCACCAAGACUUCAAGACUUUUGACACUGGUGCAAAGGCUUCCACAGCAGAUCUGCACUGCAUGGAGAAGCUUUUCCUUCUGAUGCCUGCUUGCCUAAUUCCAUGAACAGAGACCAAGAGUUUGCCAGCCUGAGUAUAUUCCAAGGUGAUGAAUACCAUGGGACAACGUGAAACUCACAGACUGGUUUGAUUUCACUAUGAACACGGUCCUGUUCCAUGAUGAGUUUAUUCUCAUUUUGUUCAUAUUUGGACAUUAAUCUUCUCAAUGUUUGUGAAAAUCUCUGGAGAAGAGGGAUUCACGUGAAACACAAGGAGGAGAAUGAAGGCACCUCAGUGAUCUCUGAGAGAUUUUAUGCACUCAGAUUUGCCUGGAACUUGGCAGAAGCUCUUCACAAACACUGAGGUCGAUGAUAUUUGGCCUUCUGUGGCGUUUUCCAAGUAGGAUGUGAAGGACUGCAGGGUGCUAAGGGGUCAGUCCCAGUUCUGCAGCCACAUGUGGGUGUGUUUGAACCUUUCCACCCACACAGAGAGCCCAGCUCAGGGUGUCCCAGCUGCAGGGCCCACCCACAUGGACUGACUGCAAGCAGAGGUGUCUGAUUCAUUAGCACACCUCCUAUAAAACUGUAUUAUUCAUCAGUUUAAGGUAUUAAUCAUUUUCUGUUUAAAUUUCCUUCAGGGGCUUGUUAUUUGUUCUGUAGGUGUGUUUUAGCGUGUUGUAAUAUGAAAUCCACUUUCAUUUAAUCAGCUUAAAAUAUUUCCAGGUUUAUUACUUACAUGUAAAUCUGAAUUGAGAUAUAUAUGCAAUAACCAAGGAACAUGGAUUUGCAAAUAAGAUGUUUGACCUUUACCUUUUUUCAAAAUUACAGGACUGGUAACUGCUGUGUAAAUGAGUCAUCUGAAGAAUUAAAAAGCAGGUAGAUAACUGUUACUCCAACAUAUCUAUUUCAGUUAAGCAUCAGCUGCUAUUUCCAUUCUAAAUCCCAUUUUCAUGGGUAUAUAAUUUGAUGUAUUCAAUUCUAUGGGGCUUAAACUUCCCUUAGUACGUUUAACUUCACAAAUAAGCAUGGAAAUCUGAAGUUAAAUGACUGUGCUUCAAAAAGUGUCAUUUACCAAUAAAAGGAUAAGAUUUGUGUUCUAAGAUUUGGGUGCAAAUGGUGAAAAGGAACCUUAUACCACUAUGGUUUAGAUUGGUUCACUAUGGAUUUAACCACUGUGGCAUUGAACAGCAUUUUAAAUCGAAUUUCUUGUUACUUCUAUUCCACUUCUUUUCAAAUUAACUUUCAAACACCGCACGCUUUAAACAGGUGGGAAAUAAAUCUUCUAACAGGUAUCAUCAAUCUCCCAUCCUCAGACAAACAGGGUAUGUAAACAACCGAAUGCCAGUUAUCUGCAAUUAAAAUCAGUUUCAGGCAAGGAAACAUGGGGUUUUCACAGAGUGAUCCAGAAUACUUUGAGUCAGAACCAGAGAUAUUUUUAAAAAUUAUGAGCACUGUGGUCAUAAAUUUUAUGUCACUUAACUCAGAGAUAGCUGCCUUCUUUCUCUUCCUGAUGGGCAGAGAAAUGUGCCCUUCACAUUCUGCUGUCAUGUAGAUAUUAAAUUUGUCAAAACUGCAGUGACAUAC
Molecule: long non-coding RNA, 2467 nt
Organism: Taeniopygia guttata (zebra finch)
Lineage: Eukaryota; Metazoa; Chordata; Aves; Passeriformes; Estrildidae
Source: Ensembl